Molecule: non-coding RNA, 73 nt
Organism: Rhamnusium bicolor
Lineage: Eukaryota; Metazoa; Arthropoda; Insecta; Coleoptera; Cerambycidae
Source: the annotation of a GenBank genome assembly
GCUUCGUGGUCGAAUGGUAAGAACACUUGUCUCUCAUUCUGGAGUCCCGGGUUCGAUUCCCGGUCGAGAAACU